AUAUAUAUAUAUAUAUAUAUAUAAUUGAGCUCCUAUGCUUUUAAAAGUAUCAAGUCAUUGGUGCUUGUAAGUUUUCGGCCCUUGGAUUAAGGAUGUGCAGUUAGGAUGAUAUGGGCCCCCUAGGGUUGAGUGGUUAGUUGGUUGCAUAGUAUAAUUUAACGGGUGAAAAUGAUCAAAGGCGUAGAUCUAACGGUAAAAACUUCACAAGCACCAAGUGCUUAGUGCUUUUACAAGCACCAUAACCGGACUCUCUCUCUCUCUCUCUCUUUCUCUCUCUCUCUCUCUCUCUAUAUAUAUAUAUAUAUCAUUGUGUAUGUAAAUUAUUUGUUGUUAAAUAAAUGGCCAAAAAUAAAAUAUCCAAAUUCAAUAUUUGGCCAUUAACGACGGAAAGAAUGGUCGUUGUUUUGUUAUCUCCUUCUACUUAUGAAAUGCUUUUAACGACGGGAAAUAUGGUCAUUAGUAAUAUUAACGAUGAAACAUUUAAUCGUUAUUAACACUAUGGAUAGAAUAAUUAUAAUUUUUGUAAUAUCUAUUACGAUGGUAUAACUGGACGUUAUUGAAAAAUAGAGUGGUUAGUAAUAUAGCUAAUUAAAUAACGACGGUAAAUAAUAUGGUCGUUAAUAGUAUAUAACGAUUAGCAAUUCAUUUUGGCCGUCACUAUUUUUAACGAAGGAAGUUUUUACGAUGGGUCACGACGGAUGGAAUUUCCGUCGUUACUGACCUUUAGCGACGGAAAUAUGGGUUAUUAACGACGGUAUUUUCUUUCGUUAAAUAAAGUAUUUCCUGCAGUAUAAAUUAUAAGAAAUGAAUGAAAUAGUGAUAGAAUCCCGACGAAGGGGAGCUAAAUAUAAUAAUUUGAAAUGUUGAGAGGAUAAAAUAUAAAUUUUUUAAAAUUAAGAUGAAAAAAUAAAAAAGUAAAUAUUUAUAAGAAAUUUUUUUUAUAAUUUAGCCAAAUUUUUAACCCAAAUUUUUAACUUAAUCAACUAUAC
Molecule: long non-coding RNA, 989 nt
Filed under: Ananas comosus (pineapple)
Lineage: Eukaryota; Viridiplantae; Streptophyta; Magnoliopsida; Poales; Bromeliaceae
Description: long non-coding RNA (ACOM_LNC042486)
Source: RNAcentral